Molecule: non-coding RNA, 70 nt
Organism: Schistosoma curassoni
Lineage: Eukaryota; Metazoa; Platyhelminthes; Trematoda; Strigeidida; Schistosomatidae
Source: Rfam
CUAUUAACUCCGCCUGUAGCUCUUAUAGGGUUGCUGCCGGUCCCAAGCCCGGGUAAAGGAGGAGGGUUGG